Molecule: ribosomal RNA, 460 nt
Filed under: uncultured bacterium
Lineage: Bacteria
Description: partial 16S ribosomal RNA
Rfam family: Bacterial small subunit ribosomal RNA
Source: RNAcentral
CCUACGGGAGGCAGCAGUGAGGAAUAUUGGUCAAUGGACGAGAGUCUGAACCAGCCAAGUAGCGUUAAGGAUGACUGCCCUAUGGGUUGUAAACUUCUUUUAUAAAGGAAUAAAACGAGGCACGUGUGCCUUUUUGCAUGUACUUUAUGAAUAAGGAUCGGCUAACUCCGUGCCAGCAGCCGCAGUAAUACGGAGGAUCCGAGCGUUAUCCGGAUGUAUUGGGUUUAAAGGGAGCGUAGAUGGGUUGUUAAGUCAGUUGUGAAAGUUUGCGGCUCAACCGUAAAAUUGCAAUUGAUACUGGCAGUCUUGAGUACAGGUGAGGUAGGCGGAAUUCGUGGCGUAGCGGUGAAAUGCUUAGAUAUCACGAAGAACCCCGAUUGCGAAGGCAGCUUACUAAACUGUGACUGACAUUGAUGCUCGAAAGUGUGGGUAUCAAACAGGAGUAGAUACCCUGGUAGUC